UCACACAAGUUUGUUUGCCACUAAGCGUUAAAAAGACGACGAGUGCUGACUACUUAAACACACAGGAACAAAAUCAUUUAAUAUUUGACAGUUAAAGAGCAGAAAUGUUUGAUUGUAUUUAUGACGAUGUGAUCAAGAUUAAGUCUGAGGGAAUGAAGAAACAGUAGAGAGAGUGACGGUGGAAAUCUAUGAGAGUUCAGAUCAUGACUUCAGGACAGAGACAAACACACACCAACCACUUCAGCAUAUAGCAACAUCUCUUCUCUGAUGACGUGUUUACUGGCGUGAGGAGGGAAAACCUGUCACUCACAUGACGUCACAGCAAUAGCAAACCAUCCAAUCAAUUCCCGAUAGACAAAAUCAAGUCCCGGCCUACAUUUUUUCUUGCUUGAGAAGCUGUUUCUCUUGGAUAUACAUCACUAUAAGGAAGAAAAGACUAUUGCAACAGCCAACUGAUCGGAUGUCACAUGUUUUUGUGUUCACACGCUGACCACAAAUUUGUUUGCCACUAAUGUUAAAAAUAAGACAAGUGCUGACUACUUAAACACAUCUACACAGGAACAAGGAACUAAAUUGUUUAAUGUUUGAUGGUUAAAGAGCAGAAAUGUCUUAUAAUAUUUAUGACAACGUAAUCAGGAUUGUACCUGAGGCAAUGAAGACAGAGAGAGCAGAGAUGACGGAGGUUAUCUAUGAGAGUUCAGAUUGUGUGGGAGAUCAUGACUUCAGGAUAGAGACAAACACACACCAACUACUUCAGUGUAAAGUCUGCCAUUUUCAGGAAGUGAUCCUGUAAGGAUCAGAAGCUCCAGAGCAGCUCUAGUGUGUUUGGUGCCGCUGUGUGUUCUUCUGCUGACUGCAGUCAUAGUGCUGUGUGUCUACAUCCAUACAAAGAGCACAAACUACACAGAAGAGAGAGACCAGCUACUAAACAAGAUUACCAACCUCACCAAAGAGAGAGAUGGGCUAAUAAUAAAGAACAAAAACCUGAAUGAGAGAGACCAGCUAGGAAAUGAAGUUCCGAUUUAUGCUGAAUGGACUCGUUAUCAAUCCAGUCUUUACUACAUAUCCAAAGAGAAGAAGAGCUGGACUGAGAGCAGAAGAUACUGUACAGAGAGAGGAGCAGAUCUGAUCAUCAUAAACAACAGAAAGGAACAAGAUUUUGUUAAGAACAUGUCUGGUGCUGCUAUAGUCUGGAUUGGUCUGACUGACAGUGAUGUGGAGGACAGGUGGAAAUGGGUUGAUGGCAUCGCACUGACCUCUGGGUUCUGGGCGUCUAAAGAGCCUAAUGGAGGUACAAGAGAGAACUGUGUUGUGACUGUGGCUGUGCCUAAAUUGCCAGAGUGGCCUGGUUUAGUAGGGUGGAUUGAUGAAUCAUGUAAUAAAGCUUAUCAAUGGAUCUGUGAAAAGAAUAUUUCACAACUCAUGCUGCCAUAGGAACAUAAUACAUCUUUUUUGAUGCAAGUUUAACAGAACAAAACUUUUGUAAUAAUUGAAUAUCAUCUAAAACAGUGUUCUCAACUUUGCUCCUGGAGGAUGCCCACAAUGACACAUUUUGGAUGUCUCCUUUGUCAGACACUAAUUUCAUGUCCUGGAGUUUCUUGUAAUGAGCUGAUGAUUUGCAGCAGGUGUGUUUAAUUAUGGUGAAAUAUAUAAUGUUCAAAAGUGAUCUUUACAGAGUAUUCUGCAUUGUCAAGUGAGAUUCCAGUCUGAAGGAAUAUUAUUCAGUUCUACAUCAGUCAUUGCGCAACAGUCCAGUAUUUUAUAUGUAUAUAUAUAUAUAUAUAUAUAUAUUUCCUCCGAGGAGGCAAGGGAGGCAGUGCCAUUGAGAAUGAGAAGCAGGUGUGUUAAAUUUGGUGUUAUUGCUCUCUCUCUCUUAUACUGGUCACUGGAAGUUCAACAUGGCACCUCAUGGCAAAGAACUCUCUGAGGAUCUAAAAAAAAUAUAUAUAUAUAUAUAUUGUGCUCUACAUAAAGAUGGCGUAGGCUAUAAGAAGAUUGCCAAGACCUUUGUGGAGCAUCCUCAAACAGAAGGUAGAGGAGCGCAAGGUCUCUAACAUCCACCAGCUCCGUGAUGUUGUCAUGGAGGAGUGGAAGAGGACUCCAGUGGCAACCUGUGAAGCUCUGAACUCCAUGCCCAAGAGGGUCAAGGCAGUGCUGGAAAAUAAUGGUGGCCACACAAAAUAUGGACACUUUAGGGCCAAUUUGGACAUUUUUACUUAGGGGUGUACUCACUUUUGUGGCCAGCGGUUUAGACAUUAAUGGCUGUGUGUUGAGUUAUUUUAAGGGGACAGCAAAUUUACACUGUUAUACAAGCUGUACACUCACUACUUUACAUUGUAGCAAAGUGUCAUUUCUUCAGUGUUGUCACAUGAAAAGAUAUAAUAAAAUAUUUACAAAAAUG
This is a long non-coding RNA of Ctenopharyngodon idella (grass carp), 2401 nucleotides long. RefSeq lists it as uncharacterized. NCBI's taxonomy places the organism in Eukaryota, Metazoa, Chordata, Actinopteri, Cypriniformes, Xenocyprididae. The transcript has 6 exons. The record is from RefSeq and is a predicted model, not a curated record.